GUUUGAUCCUGGCUCAGAAUCAACGCUGGCGGCGUGCCUCAGACAUGCAAGUCGAACGAUUAAAGCUCUCUUCGGAGAGUGUAUAGAGUGGCGCACGGGUGAGUAACACGUAAGUAAUCUACCCUCGAGUGGGGAAUAACAACCGGAAACGGUUGCUAAUACCGCAUAAUGCAGCGGCACCGCAAGGUGACAGUUGUUAAAGAUUUAUCGCUUGAGGAGGAGCUUGCGGCAGAUUAGCUAGUUGGUAGGGUAACGGCUUACCAAGGCUACGAUCUGUAACCGGUCUAAGAGGACGGUCGGUCACACUGACACUGAAUAACGGGUCAGACUCCUACGGGAGGCAGCAGUCGGGAAUUUUGGGCAAUGGGCGAAAGCCUGACCCAGCAACGCCGCGUGAAGGAUGAAGUAUUUCGGUAUGUAAACUUCGAAAGAAUAGGAAGAAUUAAUGACGGUACUAUUUAUAAGGUCCGGCUAACUACGUGCCAGCAGCCGCGGUAAUACGUAGGGACCAAGCGUUGUUCGGA
This 524-nucleotide ribosomal RNA is filed under the name uncultured bacterium. RNAcentral's name for it is "bacterial SSU rRNA". It matches the Rfam family "Bacterial small subunit ribosomal RNA", at positions 11 to 549 of the family's 1533-position model. The record is from RNAcentral.